This 324-nucleotide ribosomal RNA is filed under the name uncultured Spirochaetota bacterium. RNAcentral describes it as "bacterial SSU rRNA". It matches the Rfam family "Bacterial small subunit ribosomal RNA", at positions 29 to 350 of the family's 1533-position model. Lineage: Bacteria; Pseudomonadati; Spirochaetota. The record is from RNAcentral.
AACGAACGCUGGCGGCGUGUCUUAAGCAUGCAAGUCGAGCGGCAAGGGCCAGCAAUGGCCCCUAGAGCGGCGGACUGGUGAGUAACACGUGGGUGAUCUACCUCGGGGUUGGGGAUAGCCAUUAGAAAUAGUGGGUAAUACCGAAUACGCUCCCGCAACUACGGUUGGGGGAGAAAGGCGCUACGGCGCCGACCUGAGAUGAGCCCGCGUCCCAUUAGCUAGUUGGUGAGGUAACGGCCCACCAAGGCCAUGAUGGGUAGGCGGCCUGAGAGGGUGUACGCCCACAUUGGGACUGAGAUACGGCCCAAACUCCUACGGGAGGCA